GGGUACGCAGUGGUUGAAUGACCUUUUCUGUCUGUAAUUAUAACCGCUCUGAUUAAAAAUCAUGAACUCGAGUAUCAUGCAUUUACGAUUGUACAACAAUACCCCUUCCAGAUACCAAACUCAAUCUACGGAUAUUCGUUUGCAACUCUUUUUCUUGUAUUUUAAACGUCAGAAAAAUAGAUAUUUUGAGGGACUUUAGUGGAAUUUUACGCAAUAACUGCCGUGAGAAUUGGGAUAACUUUGGAUGAUUCUGCAAUAUGAUCUGGACCAUACACGUGUCUUGCAAUAAUUAAUUGUUUCUCGAAAUCAUCAGCCUAUCAGGACAUUAUCUUGAAAACAUCAACGUGGAUGCAAAUAACAUCCUU
RNAcentral lists this long non-coding RNA (365 nucleotides) under Gossypium barbadense (sea-island cotton). RNAcentral's name for it is "long non-coding RNA (GBAR_LNC015783)". The record is from RNAcentral. Lineage: Eukaryota; Viridiplantae; Streptophyta; Magnoliopsida; Malvales; Malvaceae.